RNAcentral lists this ribosomal RNA (468 nucleotides) under uncultured bacterium. RNAcentral describes it as "partial 16S ribosomal RNA". It matches the Rfam family "Bacterial small subunit ribosomal RNA", at positions 28 to 507 of the family's 1533-position model. The record is from RNAcentral.
GACGAACGCUGGCGGCGUGCUUAACACAUGCAAGUCGAACGGAAAGGCCCUGCUUUUGUGGGGUGCUCGAGUGGCGAACGGGUGAGUAACACGUGAGUAACCUGCCCUUGACUUUGGGAUAACUUCAGGAAACUGGGGCUAAUAUCGGAUAGGAGCUCCUGCUGCAUGGUGGGGGUUGGAAAGUUUCGGCGGUUGGGGAUGGACUCGCGGCUUAUCAGCUUGUUUGUGGGGUAGUGGCUUACCAAGGCUUUGACGGGUAGCCGGCCUGAGAGGGUGACCGGCCACAUUGGGACUGAGAUACGGCCCAGACUCCUACGGGAGGCAGCAGUGGGGAAUAUUGCACAAUGGGCGGAAGCCUGAUGCAGCAACGCCGCGUGCGGGAUGACGGCCUUCGGGUUGUAAACCGCUUUCGCCUGUGACGAAGCGUGAGUGGCGGUAAUGGGUAAAGAAGCACCGGCUAACUACGUG